This is a long non-coding RNA of Lotus japonicus, 871 nucleotides long. RefSeq lists it as uncharacterized. The transcript is spliced from 6 exons. Lineage: Eukaryota; Viridiplantae; Streptophyta; Magnoliopsida; Fabales; Fabaceae. The record is from RefSeq and is a predicted model, not a curated record.
UCAAUAUACUCUAAGAAAAGAAACCCCUCCUGCAAAGGUCAUAUCACCACGUUCUCUAAAAAAUCCCGCUUGAAACCAUAUGCUUCUGUCUUAAUUUUAAAAUUUUCAAUUUGAAUUUCAACUUCUCUAUUUUCCCUCUUCCUCUCUCUCUGCCUCUCAAAUUUUGGUUUUUUGUAGAUCUGAAAUUUGGAGACAACUAACAACUUUUUUGAUAGUGGUGUAGCAUCUUUACGCCUCAUGGUGAAAACUAAUUGUUUAUGCUCAAUGCAUUUUACAAGGCUAGCUUCACUACUUCUCCUUUUUAUCUUCUCCAUAGACUCCAUGGACACAAAUACGGGGUUUCUUUCAAAGAGCUAAGCCAUAUAUGGUUAUCAAACAAGUAUGAGACCAAGACUUGAAUUUUUUUAUUGUUACCUUUUCUGAGUCAGUGCUUGCGACUCCUCAAUGGAAUGGUGCUAUUUAAGAGACAAGGAAGUUCGAUAUAGUCGUACUAAUUAGCCCUUUUAAGGAGGCAAGCAAUGCACAUUAUAAUUCAAUAGCUGCAACUGAUGCUGGUGGAAUUGAUCUUCGAAUUCCAUAUCCAGAUGAACCAGAUUACAAGGAGAACUACUAUUUUAAUCCUAUUGACAGUAUAUUCAAGAUCAGGUUUGGAAGACUAAAUUGGCUUCAAUAGUAGGUGGAAAGACAGAGAGCAUGUGGAAGAAGACUGUUAGGCAUGAUGAAGAAGAUAAUGACCUGCUAUGGUAGAGCCAUUAAUAGGAGUAGAUGUUCAAUUCUUUAAGUACUACACUUAUUUAUGGAAAAUAUUGGCUCACUCCAAAGGAUGCUUUCUAUUUGAUCAUUAUUAGUAUACCUAUAAUUGGAUUUCUUA